Long non-coding RNA from Monodelphis domestica (gray short-tailed opossum), 1601 nucleotides. The record is from Ensembl. NCBI's taxonomy places the organism in Eukaryota, Metazoa, Chordata, Mammalia, Didelphimorphia, Didelphidae.
AGUAAUGGGAGAUUGGCUGAUGAAGGUCUCGUUCUGGGAGUAUGCAUGUUGGGAGAUCCUGCUUCUGGAGCUGUGGUGAUGUAGAAUGGAGGGGCCUUGAUCUGUACUUUUGGAGCAAGCACAGUGGACUCAAGGAACUGCAUAGAGACUUCAGUGAAAGAAAAAGGAACCGGAAGGUGUAGAGGUGAAACUUGGAAUACUUGAAGAAAAGACAAUGAAACAGAUCUCCUACAAUGAGUGACUUUUCUCUGUGAAGGCCAAGAGAUCCAUUUAAGAAAAUAAAAUGAGCAACUACCCCAUUCAUAGGCCCCUGGAAGAAGACAAAAUGGAUGGAACAUCCUCAUCCUGGAAGAUCAUUUCAGCCUUCAAACUCACACCUCGACAAGUAACCUUGGCCCUGAGGAUAGAUACUCCCUCUGAUUUGGAUGGUAGAGAACAUCUCUCAAAAGCUCCAUUUGAGGAGGAGUCCAGGCCAGCUAUAUCCUCAUUUCUCAUCAGCUACACUCCUUGGCAUAAUACAGUGUCAAGCUUGAGUGACCUAGUGAGGAAAUUCAGAACCCUGGAAGCCAGAGGGGUCUGGCUAGCUUGGGGCCCUCUCUGAAAUUUCCAAACAGAGCUGCCGCUUCUACUUCUUCAGGAACUUGAAUAUUUAUCCUUGCUCUGAGGUGGGAAGAGAGAAGCCGUCAGAGUCACUACACAUUUGGUUUUGUUCAGGAGGUCGAAAGUGUCCCCUCCUGGAAUAAGGCAUUUUUGUUGUUGUUUUGUUUUGUAUGUCCUUGUUUUUACACAUAAAGUAAGCAAACCUUGGAGGGGGUCUCAGAAGCCCCAGGUGUCUGGCCCCAGUCAGAAUAUUCACGUAUCCACCAGUGACCUGAAGGCUUUUGAGACGCCCCAUUCCACAGAAAAAAAGACUUGGCCAGAAGAACAGGCCCUGCACUUCCCAGGCCAAAGUAAACUGAACGGUUGAGUUCCACACUCCCCUAAGGAGAUGAAGGCUAUAGCAGCAUCUGCAAUAGUCUGUCAGUGCUCGCAGUCUGCAGAGAGAGCCCAGGCUCCCACAUGGACCACUGCCCUUUUGUCUUCCUUUCCAUCCCGGGGUGUAGAAAACUGGGCUGGGCACGAGGAACCCAGGGAACUCGGAGCCUCGCAUUCAGAUCAGACUUCCUGUGUGGGCCAGAGCCAAUGACUUACAGCUCAACUCCAAAGUGGGGAGAAGAAAAAAAAACACAAAAAUCCAGGCCUGCCUUAUAAGCCAGGCUGGGGAUUAGAGCCCCUAAAUCCUGAAAUGCUGGUCAAGCGCAAGACAAAGGUGGAGUGUUGUUCCUGAUCCCUGGAGAAAGUCCCCAGGUGAGCCCUGGAUAAGGUAGAUUCUUGUAGACAACGUCAUCCAGACUGAGCUAAUUGAAAUCAUGCCUUUGUCAGAACCAGUGAGGGAGCCAGAGCACAGACUAGGAAAUCCAGUCGGGGAGAAGACAAGGGAUUCUCCGUGUCUCCCUGCCUUCUCGAUGUAAUUAAGUGGCAGUUGCCCAUAGGUGCUACACAGGUGGUCUCCAGCCUCAGGCAGUGACCUGGGGGAAAAAAAUUCAGCUGCAACCAAUCUA